AAGNAAGUGACAGAAUGGUUAUGUACUUGGCUUGAAACCAGGCUAUGGGGGUUCAAUUCCCUCCUUUCUCG
This 71-nucleotide transfer RNA is filed under the name Chaenogobius annularis (forktongue goby). RNAcentral's name for it is "tRNA-Ser". It matches the Rfam family "tRNA". Rfam says of the family: Transfer RNA (tRNA) molecules are approximately 80 nucleotides in length. Their secondary structure includes four short double-helical elements and three loops (D, anti-codon, and T loops). Further hydrogen bonds mediate the characteristic L-shaped molecular structure. tRNAs have two regions of fundamental functional importance: the anti-codon, which is responsible for specific mRNA codon recognition, and the 3' end, to which the tRNAs corresponding amino acid is attached (by aminoacyl-tRNA synthetases). tRNAs cope with the degeneracy of the genetic code in two manners: having more than one tRNA (with a specific anti-codon) for a particular amino acid; and 'wobble' base-pairing, i.e. permitting non-standard base-pairing at the 3rd anti-codon position. Lineage: Eukaryota; Metazoa; Chordata; Actinopteri; Gobiiformes; Gobiidae. The record is from RNAcentral.